This is a long non-coding RNA of Balaenoptera ricei (Rice's whale), 805 nucleotides long. RefSeq lists it as uncharacterized. Lineage: Eukaryota; Metazoa; Chordata; Mammalia; Artiodactyla; Balaenopteridae. The transcript is spliced from 3 exons. The record is from RefSeq and is a predicted model, not a curated record.
UUAGGUUAUGGAAUGGUCUGUGGCUUAGACGUCGGGCUAAAGUCAAAUUUCUUAAUUAAAAAACCAGGUAUUUCACUUAAGCUUCAUUGGGACUGUAUCCAACACAUAAAUUUGCACCUGCCGAAUUAUAAAUUUACUUACUCGUCCACGCAAAAACAGUCACAAGUGCCACUGAGAGGAGUGAGGGCUGAGGCCACGCCUUCUUGGAGCAUCAGUGAUUCAGAGCUUCUGAACCCAUCCCAAAUUCAGACAACAGCACAGUCAAAAGGCAAGGCUCGCUUCAUGACUUACCAGCCAUUUGCUGAAUGCCACUGAAUGCACCCAGGUUGCUGGAGGAGGUGGCCUGCUGCAGAAGCUGCAAAAGAAAAGAGAAAGGUAAUGGUAGGUCUCCUCAGCUUAAGAAGAAGGAAACUCUACAACUGGAUGUGACUCAGAAAUGGGCAUCUAGCAAUUGACUUAAAAGCACCAAGUAGAGUGGAAUAUCGGUGGCUGACUCAACUUAAGUCUUAGUUACAAUGAUUAAUGUAAUCCCUAUGGGGAUUAACAUGAACAGCUGUGGGCCUUCCCUGGUGGCACAAUGGUUAAGAAUCCGCCUGCCAAUGCAGGGGGCACAGGUUUGAUCCCUGGUCUAGGAAGAUCCCACAUGCUGCGGAGCAACUAAGCCCGUGGCCACAACUACUGAGCCCACGUGCCACAACUGCUGAAGCCCAUGUGCUGCAACUACUGAAACCCACGCACCUAGAGCCUGUGCUCCACAACGAGAAGCCACCGCAAAUGAGAAGCCCGCGCACCGCAACGAAGAGUA